Molecule: ribosomal RNA, 447 nt
Filed under: uncultured bacterium
Lineage: Bacteria
Description: partial 16S ribosomal RNA
Rfam family: Bacterial small subunit ribosomal RNA
Source: RNAcentral
AACGAACGCUGGCGGCAGGCUUAACACAUGCAAGUCGAACGCAUCGCAAGAUGAGUGGCAGACGGGUGAGUAACGCGUGGGAACAUACCCUUUUCUACGGAAUAGCUCUGGGAAACUGGAAUUAAUACCGUAUACGCCCUACGGGGGAAAGAUUUAUCGGGGAAGGAUUGGCCCGCGUUGGAUUAGCUAGUUGGUGGGGUAAGGGCCUACCAAGGCGACGAUCCAUAGCUGGUCUGAGAGGAUGAUCAGCCACAUUGGGACUGAGACACGGCCCAAACUCCUACGGGAGGCAGCAGUGGGGAAUAUUGGACAAUGGGCGCAAGCCUGAUCCAGCCAUGCCGCGUGAGUGAUGAAGGCCCUAGGGUUGUAAAGCUCUUUCACCGGUGAAGAUAAUGACGGUAACCGGAGAAGAAGCCCCGGCUAACUUCGUGCCAGCCGCCGCGGUAA